RNA transcript from Hemicordylus capensis (graceful crag lizard), 2198 nucleotides. It is a transcript of the gene named mitochondrial calcium uniporter regulator 1, with no coding region annotated. The transcript is spliced from 10 exons. Lineage: Eukaryota; Metazoa; Chordata; Lepidosauria; Squamata; Cordylidae. The record is from RefSeq and is a predicted model, not a curated record.
CUCAAAAACAGCCCGCCUCUCACGGAAGCGCAUGCGUACUGCCGGCUGAGCAGGAACGCAUUUGUGCCGCCGGAACCAGCAAGCUAAGUACUGGGCUGGGCAGCUGGAAGGAACGGCGGGGCGGCUCCUGUAGCUAUGGAAGAGCGAGGGAAAGCCCUCAAGCCUUGACCUCCACAGACGGCGACGCAGGGAUGGUCAGAGGUCAGGCCGGAGUGGUGAGCUUCCUCGUUCAGCGGGAACGAAGCUCUCUCUUGCUCGGUGCCUCGCGGAAGCAUGUCGUAGGCUCACCCCUCGCCCGCCGUUGCCUUGGAGACUGGAAGCAGACGAGUGGUGGCGCGCGCCUGGAAACGCCACGACUCGCCAGAAACGGCAGCGCGAGCUCAACAGCGCGCGGCGGCGGCGGCAUUGGCAAUUCCAGCAGCAAGCAUGUCCUUUCCCUUGGGGUGGGGCGGCGCUCCGGGCCCCGCUUCCUCAGCCUGGGCGUGGGUCGUUGCCGGGCCGUGGAAAAGCCAGGUGUAAAUAUUUGUGCAUCACCAUUACAAAUUGAAAACAGCAAGGGGAGUUUUUCCCUAUCGGGAAGCAAAAAGCUUUAUUUUGACACCCAUGCCUUAGUGUGCCUCCUGGAAGAAAAUGGAUUCACUACUCAGCAAUCCGAGAUCAUUGUACCUGCUUUAAUGAACGUCAUGAACAGUAACAUGGAUGUGAUAUACAAAGACAUGGUCACAAAAGUACAACAGGAAAUUGCUCUUCAGCAGAUAAUGUCUCGUAUUGGUGUUGUGAAGAAAGAUAUGAUUAUUUUGGAGAAGAGUGAAUUUUCAGCACUCAGGGCAGAAAAUGAGAAAAUAAAACUUGAACUUCAGCAGCUGAAAAAGCAAGUAAUGGAUGAAAUUUGCAAAGUUCGUACGGACAGCAAACUCGAUUUCAACGUAGAAAAGAGCAGAGUAAAAGAAUUGUAUGCACUUAAUGAGAGAAAACGGUUGAAAAUGAGAACAGAAAUAGUGGAAUUGAUUGAUAUGUCUCUUCCAUUGGCAAUAUUAAUGAAGACUGACAGAUUCUUGAGGGCUUGGUUCAGCAUGCACAUCAAGAUCGAGCUUUAACACAGACAGACAGGAAAAUAGACACUGAAGUUGCAGGCCUGAAAACUAUGCUUGAAUCGCACAAACUUGACAACAUUAAGUAUUUAGCAGGUUCAGUAUUUACAUGCCUUACAGUAGCACUGGGAUUUUACCGUUUAUGGAUGUAACAGAGCAUCUGUUUAAAAAGGACUUGUACUAUCUUGCCUUAGAAAAAACAAAGCUUCAUUGUACCCUAGCUGGAAUCAUUUAGUUUUGUCUUCAGAGUCACUGCCAUUGUAUUUAUUUAAAACUCUCUGGAAUGUAACCAAAGAAUGUGCCUGAAAAUGAAUGUGUAUAUAUCAAAAUAUUGAUAGAAAGUUGGCCUGAGUUGAUCAACCAUAUUUUGCACAGCAAUGUCCACCUAUAUAAAUCUGGUUUUGAGGGGGAGGUGGCAGUUUCUGGGUUACAGUAAUCAGGGGUGUCCUUGGGGCAGGGCAAGUGGGGUGACCGCCCUGGGCCCUGCUCUUUUCACCCCCAUGAAAAUUAAGAAGGGGGCCCCACAUUGGCUGACUUGCACCAUGCCCGGGCUCUCUAAGGACACCCCUGAUGGUAAUUCUAAAACAUUGGGUUAUAUACCAGACACAUCAAAUAUAAAUAUAGUUUAGAAGGAAAAUCACCAAGGUGUCUUUUGCUAAGUUCUAUUGUAGUAUGCAAGACUGUAAAAGCAGAAGUCCGUACAUAGUGAAUGCAGGGGGGAAUUGACUUCAUUUCUUCAGAGCUGAAAAGUCUUGAGUUACAUCAGAGCUCACAUAUUUCCUCUCUGUUAAUAAAACACGCAGUAAAGUCUUGUUAUCAGUGGCCAACUUCCAUAUUAAAUUUGCACUCGUGGAAGAAUGUUUCUCAUCGCCCAGGGAAAAAACUCUUCCACAAGAGCUACGUUAGUCUGGAUGUCAACCACUGUGUUUUAACAGACCAGCUGCUUUCAUUGUGGUCUGCUGUUGUAAAUUUUUCAUCCAGUUAAUCAUGUUUUAUGAGGAAGUGUAAAAAAUAAUGUUGGUAAGCAAAUGCCAAAUAGACUUGAAACUACAUCCUAGCUGUUACCUUGAUUCUAAAAAUGGAUAAAAUAAAGCACAGUGAAUUGUA